GCGGCGAUUCCCGUCACUAAACUCCGUGACAGAACCGCCGUCCCUAAGCCGUUACAAAUCCAAAAAUUAAAUAUUUAAAAAAUUACGUAUUUCCCGUCACUAACCAGUCAUUGAGUUAGUGACGAAGAUAACUUGGUCACUGAUUUUGUCACAGAAUUCGGUCACAAAUUUGGUCACUGAUUUGUCACAACCUUCAGUGACAGAUUUAGUCGUCACAGACAUGGUCA
Molecule: long non-coding RNA, 227 nt
Filed under: Phoenix dactylifera (date palm)
Lineage: Eukaryota; Viridiplantae; Streptophyta; Magnoliopsida; Arecales; Arecaceae
Description: long non-coding RNA (PDAC_LNC002445)
Source: RNAcentral